Molecule: ribosomal RNA, 273 nt
Filed under: uncultured bacterium
Lineage: Bacteria
Description: partial 16S ribosomal RNA
Rfam family: Bacterial small subunit ribosomal RNA
Source: RNAcentral
UACGUAGGUGGCGAGCGUUGUCCGGAUUUACUGGGCGUAAAGAGCCCGCAGGCGGUUCAGCAAGUUUCAGGUGAAAUCUCCCGGCUCAACUGGGAGGGUGCCUGGAAAACUGUUGGACUUGAGGCAGGGAGAGGGAUGUGGAAUUCCCGGUGUAGUGGUGAAAUGCGUAGAUAUCGGGAGGAACACCAGUGGCGAAGGCGGCAUCCUGGCCCUGUCCUGACGCUCAGGGGCGAAAGCGUGGGGAGCAAACCGGAUUAGAAACCCCCGUAGUCC